This 253-nucleotide ribosomal RNA is filed under the name uncultured bacterium. Its description in RNAcentral is "partial 16S ribosomal RNA". It matches the Rfam family "Bacterial small subunit ribosomal RNA", at positions 524 to 776 of the family's 1533-position model. The record is from RNAcentral.
UACAGAGGGGGCAAGCGUUGUUCGGAAUUACUGGGCGUAAAGGGCGCGUAGGCGGCCUGCUAAGUCGAACGUGAAAUCCCUGGGCUCAACCCAGGAACUGCGUCCGAUACUGGUUGGCUUGAAUUCGGGAGAGGGAUGUGGAAUUCCAGGUGUAGCGGUGAAAUGCGUAGAUAUCUGGAGGAACACCGGUGGCGAAGGCGGCAUCCUGGACCGGCAUUGACGCUGAGGCGCGAAAGCCAGGGGAGCAAACGGG